AUUGAACGCUGGCGGCAGGCCUAACACAUGCAAGUCGAGCGGAUGAAGGGAGCUUGCUCCUGGAUUCAGCGGCGGACGGGUGAGUAAUGCCUAGGAAUCUGCCUGGUAGUGGGGGAUAACGUCCGGAAACGGGCGCUAAUACCGCAUACGUCCUGAGGGAGAAAGUGGGUGAUCUUCGGACCUCACGCUAUCAGAUGAGCCUAGGUCGGAUUAGCUAGUUGGUGGGGUAAAGGCCUACCAAGGCGACGAUCCGUAACUGGUCUGAGAGGAUGAUCAGUCACACUGGAACUGGGACACGCUCCAGACUCCUACGGGAGGCAGCAGUGGGGAAUAUUGGACAAUGGGCGAAAGCCUGAUCCAGCCAUGCCGCGUGUGUGAAGAAGGUCUUCGGAUUGUAAAGCACUUUAAGUUGGGAGGAAGGGCAGUAAGUUAAUACCUUGCUGUUUUGACGUUACCAACAGAAUAAGCACCGGCUAACUUCGUG
This 484-nucleotide ribosomal RNA is filed under the name uncultured bacterium. RNAcentral describes it as "partial 16S ribosomal RNA". It matches the Rfam family "Bacterial small subunit ribosomal RNA", at positions 30 to 507 of the family's 1533-position model. The record is from RNAcentral.